Molecule: long non-coding RNA, 609 nt
Organism: Oryzias melastigma (Indian medaka)
Lineage: Eukaryota; Metazoa; Chordata; Actinopteri; Beloniformes; Adrianichthyidae
Exons: 3
Source: RefSeq, a predicted model, not a curated record
CUUUUAAGUCGCUGUCAAUCAAAGCAACCGAGAAAAACGCAGUUUGAAUUCUUGAAACUUUCAUACGUCACAGUAGCUAGCUAACCCGGAUGUAGCUGUAGAGGCUGGAGAAGAUAAUAUAACAUCCCAAGUAGGCCGGUGGUGACUGCGAACAGCGGCGGGCCGCGACGAGUAUACUCAAAAAAAUGAUUCAAGCCCCUCUUAAAGGUGACACAUUUAGAUUUAAUCCAUUUUACUCAAAUUUAGUAGUUCAUCAGAAAAUUAUUUAUAUCUCAUUCAUGUUAACUAAAGUUAUUUAAUAGCAAAGAGCCUCUGAUCCAUUAACUCAAAAAUAUUAAGUUUUAUUUUGUCCGCCUCCCCGUGCGCAUGCGCAUAUGUGUCAACGCUGUCUCCCUUCCUCCAUGUCUCCUUCCCGCACUAUCAGAAGCUGCACGUCGGACUUCGGGUUUGAAAAUAGAACUAAUUCCUGAGUGAUCAUCACUGUAACCAGGAGUUAUCUGUGGCAACCUCCUUGUAAUAGUUGAUGUCUGGACAUGCAAGGCAUGCAGUUUGGAGUCAUCUAGCAGGUAUUUGUUAUUCAAGUAUUAUAGAGAGACUCAUGGGCAUUUA